ACGACGGGAUAGCGGGGGCGAUUUCGGGCUGCGAUCGACGGCGUUUCGUGCCUUGUUUUGUCUGUGAAUUAGUUUUUUGUUUUAAUCCGCUUGUGUGAAGGUGUUAUAUCGAAGUUUCAAAACAUGCGCCGUUGGACGCUGCCAGAAGAGCGGCUCCUGGGAGGACGGCCAGCGGCCAACGUGGCUGCAGCGACAGUGGAAUUGACCUUCGGGCAAGCGGAGGACGCAUCGGACGGGGAUCCAGUCGUCACCUCCCCUGGCCAAGGGAUCGCGCCCCUCCUAACACCAACGACACGUCGACCAUCGCCGAAGACAUGCCGUUUCUGGGGGAGGGUGACGCUGAUAGCAUCAUCACGGAAGUGAUUGAUCGACCCACGUCACUGGAGUCGCUCCCAAUUGCUUUCGUUCCAUCGCGGCGUCGGGGUUCAUCCACUGCACCCAUUUCCCGUUCUUCCAUAUCUCUGCCCCCAUCCCACCCCGGCAUUUCCACAUCCCGGGCUCCAUCUCACCGCGGCCCGUCCACACCACAUCCCGGCUCGUCCACGGCCCACCCAAAUCAACCAACACCUCAGCCCACGCCCCAUCCUGGCCCAUCAGCGCCUCAUCCCGGUCCAUUCACGCCUCGCCCCGGCCCAUCCACGUUUCGUCCCGGCCCAUCCGAGCCUCAUCCCGGUCCAUACGCAUCUCAUCCCAUUUCAUCAACUGAUCCGGCUCCUUCAUUAUCCUCAUCCUCUGACUCUGGUCGCUCCUCUGAGCCAACGGGCACCCAGCCCCGCCAGUGCCACCGGACAAGACUUCAAACGCCUGUGAGCCCCUCCAGUCUGCUGGGCUGCGACGAUGGUUUGAGUGGCAUCCCCCGGGCCACUCAACAGCGUCAAGCCCGUCGCCGAGCCGCGUACUCCCAUCGUGAUAGGCUGGUGGCCUCCUUGGAAGCAUUGGAACGGGGCGAACGGCAAGCCGCGAGGAGGGAGGAGGCACGCGACGCCAGGGAUGUUACUUUUAAGGAGGCCCUGCUUGAGGAGAUGCGGGCAGACCAGGCAUUGUUGGGGGAGGCCGUGUGCGCCAUCCAGGCUGUCGCCGCCACUUUCCGCCGGCCAGAGCACGAGCGCCGCCGUGGCCGGUCGCGCUCCCGCUCGCCACGCUGAGGCGUCAUUUUGGUAU
Long non-coding RNA from Pollicipes pollicipes, 1161 nucleotides. RefSeq lists it as uncharacterized. The record is from RefSeq and is a predicted model, not a curated record. The transcript is spliced from 3 exons. NCBI's taxonomy places the organism in Eukaryota, Metazoa, Arthropoda, Thecostraca, Pollicipedomorpha, Pollicipedidae.